RNAcentral lists this ribosomal RNA (248 nucleotides) under Eurythenes sp. 2 HR-2016. Its description in RNAcentral is "partial 16S ribosomal RNA". The stretch from base 101 to 248 matches the Rfam family "Bacterial large subunit ribosomal RNA", at positions 2473 to 2620 of the family's 2925-position model. Lineage: Eukaryota; Metazoa; Arthropoda; Malacostraca; Amphipoda; Lysianassidae. The record is from RNAcentral.
UUAACUGGGGUAGUUUUUUUGUACAAUCUGAGGUUGUAGAAGGCAUGUUAAGUGGGGUUAGGUCCUUUAGAUAAGGAUAAUUUGAGUGAGUUACUUUAGGGAUAACAGCGUAAUAGUCCUAGGGAGAUCGUAUCUAUGGGGCUGAUUGCGACCUCGAUGUUGAAUUAAAAGCUCAGUGUAGAGCAGAAGCUACAGAGUGAGGGUUUGUUCAACCUUUAAAUUUUUACAUGAUCAGAGUUCAGACCGGA